UCCUCAGCUGUGGAACGCUGCGUGCGUGGUGCACAGCUACCAGCUCGGAUGGGUAUUUGAGAAUUUACCGCACUGACUUGGACCAGACGGAAAGCAGAGAAGAGGGAGAGCUACACCUGACUGUCCACCAUUCCCGCCAGCCCCAACGUCGGCUUUUCACUUCAUGUUUGGGGACAAUUACACCUCCUCAUGACAGAUCAGAAGUUUCAGAAAAAAGGUCCGCUGAUUUCCGCAACAGGGUAUGAGGUGGCCAGCUGCUGAUGCCAGCUGCAUGGACUCCUAUACUUGCUGAUUCUUCUGGAGCUGGAGAUGAACUCGGACCUCAAGGCCCAGCUCAGGGAACUGAUUAUUACAGCAGCGAGGGAAACUGAAGUUGGUGGUGGUGAGAAAGUUAUCAUGGGCAGGUACAGCAGCUCACGCCUGGAAUCCCAGCACUGUGGGGAGCUGAGG
This 450-nucleotide long non-coding RNA is filed under the name Homo sapiens (human). RNAcentral describes it as "novel transcript". Lineage: Eukaryota; Metazoa; Chordata; Mammalia; Primates; Hominidae. The record is from RNAcentral.